AUACGUAGGGAGCGAGCGUUGUCCGGAUUUACUGGGUGUAAAGGGUGCGUAGGCGGCUCUGCAAGUCAGGUGUGAAAACUAUCAGCUUAACUGAUAGACUGCAUUUGAAACUGUGGAGCUUGAGUGAAGCAGAGGCAGGCGGAAUUCCCGGUGUAGCGGUGAAAUGCGUAGAGAUCGGGAGGAACACCAGUGGCGAAGGCGGCCUGCUGGGCCUUAACUGACGCUGAGGCACGAAAGCAUGGGUAGCAAACAGGAUUAGAUACCCUGGUAGUCCAUGCCGUAAACGAUGAUUACUAGGUGUGGGUGGUCUGACCCCAUCCGUGCCGGAGUUAACACAAUAAGUAAUCCACCUGGGGAGUACGGCCGCAAGGUUGAA
RNAcentral lists this ribosomal RNA (376 nucleotides) under uncultured bacterium. RNAcentral describes it as "bacterial SSU rRNA". It matches the Rfam family "Bacterial small subunit ribosomal RNA", at positions 523 to 898 of the family's 1533-position model. The record is from RNAcentral.